GUUGCCUGAGUAACCGUAUGAUGGUGGUGGUGGUGGUGUCUUCCUGUCUCAACGAUACCUAUUUUCUAGUGCUGAGAUCCUGAGACAAUGAAUCAUAGUGAAAGAUUCGUUUUCAUUGCAGAGUGGUAUGAUCCAAAUGCUUCACUUCUUCGACGUUAUGAGCUUUUAUUUUACCCAGGGGAUGGAUCUGUUGAAAUGCAUGAUGUAAAGAAUCAUCGCACCUUUUUAAAGCGGACCAAAUAUGAUAACCUGCACUUGGAAGAUUUAUUUAUAGGCAACAAAGUGAAUGUCUUUUCUCGACAACUGGUAUUAAUUGACUAUGGGGAUCAAUAUACAGCUCGCCAGCUGGGCAGUAGGAAAGAAAAAACGCUAGCCCUAAUUAAACCAGAUGCAAUAUCAAAGGCUGGAGAAAUAAUUGAAAUAAUAAACAAAGCUGGAUUUACUAUAACCAAACUCAAAAUGAUGAUGCUUUCAAGGAAAGAAGCAUUGGAUUUUCAUGUAGAUCACCAGUCAAGACCCUUUUUCAAUGAGCUGAUCCAGUUUAUUACAACUGGUCCUAUUAUUGCCAUGGAGAUUUUAAGAGAUGAUGCUAUAUGUGAAUGGAAAAGACUGCUGGGACCUGCAAACUCUGGAGUGGCACGCACAGAUGCUUCUGAAAGCAUUAGAGCCCUCUUUGGAACAGAUGGCAUAAGAAAUGCAGCGCAUGGCCCUGAUUCUUUUGCUUCUGCGGCCAGAGAAAUGGAGUUGUUUUUUCCUUCAAGUGGAGGUUGUGGGCCGGCAAACACUGCUAAAUUUACUAAUUGUACCUGUUGCAUUGUUAAACCCCAUGCUGUCAGUGAAGGACUGUUGGGAAAGAUCCUGAUGGCUAUCCGAGAUGCAGGUUUUGAAAUCUCAGCUAUGCAGAUGUUCAAUAUGGAUCGGGUUAAUGUUGAGGAAUUCUAUGAAGUUUAUAAAGGAGUAGUGACCGAAUAUCAUGACAUGGUGACAGAAAUGUAUUCUGGCCCUUGUGUAGCAAUGGAGAUUCAACAGAAUAAUGCUACAAAGACAUUUCGAGAAUUUUGUGGACCUGCUGAUCCUACCCCCAAAUCUCCAAUUUCUCACAAGUGAAUUUAGGCAAACUAAAGAAGACAUCUCUGUUCCGAAAUUGCCCGGCAUUUACGCCCUGGAACUCUCAGAGCAAUCUUUGGUAAAACUAAGAUCCAGAAUGCUGUUCACUGUACUGAUCUGCCAGAGGAUGGCCUAUUAGAGGUUCAAUACUUCUUCAAGAUCUUGGAUAAUUAGUGGUGUGGAAAGUAAAGAAGUCACAGGUUGGGACAUUUAGACAAGAGUGAAUCACACACGAGGAAUGUGUUCAUUCUUUUAUUGUCCGUUGUUUUAACCUGACUGAAUACAAGAUCAACAAGAGCACUGUACUCCUGGCAAUUAUUACAUAUGUUAGAACAUGGAUUUUGCACUGUAGACAACAUUUAACACCAGUCUAUGGGGUACUGCAUUGCUUUUUAUAAAGUUCAAAAUAAAGAUUUAUUUUCAAACAA
This is an RNA transcript of Homo sapiens (human), 1535 nucleotides long. It is a transcript of the gene named NME/NM23 family member 7, with no coding region annotated. The record is from RefSeq and is marked reviewed. NCBI's taxonomy places the organism in Eukaryota, Metazoa, Chordata, Mammalia, Primates, Hominidae. The transcript has 13 exons.